ACUCGACUCCAUGAAGUCGGAAUCGCUAGUAAUCGUGGAUCAGAAUGCCACGGUGAAUACGUUCCCGGGCCUUGUACACACCGCCCGUCACACCAUGGGAGUGGGCGGCAAAAGAAGUAGGUAGCUUAACCUUCGGGGGGGCGCUUACCACUUUGUGGUUCAUGACUGGGGUGAAGUCGUAACAAGGUUACCGUAGGGG
RNAcentral lists this ribosomal RNA (199 nucleotides) under Candidatus Regiella insecticola. RNAcentral's name for it is "partial 16S ribosomal RNA". It matches the Rfam family "Bacterial small subunit ribosomal RNA", at positions 1310 to 1508 of the family's 1533-position model. The record is from RNAcentral. Lineage: Bacteria; Pseudomonadati; Pseudomonadota; Gammaproteobacteria; Enterobacterales; Enterobacteriaceae.